UAACACAUGCAAGCCGAACGCUGUAGCAAUACAGAGUGGCAGACGGGUGAGGAACACGUGGGAACAUGCCCUUUGGUUCGGAAUAACUCAGGGAAACUUGAGCCAAUACCGGAUAAGCCUUUCGAGGGAAAGAUUUAUCGCCGAAGGAGUGGCCCGCGUCCGAUUAGCUAGUUGGUGAGGUAAUGGCUCACCAAGGCGACGAUCGGUAGCUGGUCUGAGAGGAUGAUCAGCCACAUUGGGACUGAGACACGGCCCAAACUCCUACGGGAGGCAGCAGUGGGGAAUAUUGGACAAUGGGCGCAAGCCUGAUCCAGCCAUGCCGCGUGAGUGAUGACGGCCUUAGGGUUGUAAAGCUCUUUCACCCACGACGAUAAUGACGGUAGUGGGAGAAGAAGCCCCGGCUAACUUCGUGCCAGCAGCCGCGGUAAUACGAAGGGGGCUAGCGUUGUUCGGAUUUACUGGGCGUAAAGCGCACGUAGGCGGAUCUUUAAGUCAGGGGUGAAAUGCCGGAGCUCAACUUCGGAACUGCCUUUGAUACUGGAGAUCUUGAGUUCGAGAGAGGUGAGUGGAACUGCGAGUGUAGAGGUGAAAUUCGUAGAUAUUCGCAAGAACACCAGUGGCGAAGGCGGCUCACUGGCUCGAUACUGACGCUGAGGUGCGAAAGCGUGGGGAGCAAACAGGAUUAGAUACCCUGGUAGUCCACGCCGUAAACGAUGGAUGCUAGCCGUUAGGCAGCUUGCUGCUUAGUGGCGCAGCUAACGCUUUAAGCAUCCCGCC
RNAcentral lists this ribosomal RNA (777 nucleotides) under uncultured Alphaproteobacteria bacterium. RNAcentral describes it as "bacterial SSU rRNA". It matches the Rfam family "Bacterial small subunit ribosomal RNA", at positions 49 to 873 of the family's 1533-position model. Lineage: Bacteria; Pseudomonadati; Pseudomonadota; Alphaproteobacteria. The record is from RNAcentral.